This 73-nucleotide non-coding RNA is filed under the name unclassified sequences. RNAcentral describes it as "RAGATH-18 RNA". It matches the Rfam family "RAGATH-18 RNA". From Rfam's summary of the family: Actinobacteria, Firmicutes, Fusobacteria, Thermotogae (1 example). Nearby to self-cleaving ribozyme genes The record is from Rfam by way of RNAcentral.
ACUGUGAAGUGCUAUACAAACUGUAGUAGAUUGAUACUUGGUAUCAUCAAGGCAGAGCACGUUGAAGCAGUAA